Apis dorsata (giant honeybee) is the source of this 209-nucleotide long non-coding RNA. RefSeq lists it as uncharacterized. The record is from RefSeq and is a predicted model, not a curated record. The transcript has 2 exons. Lineage: Eukaryota; Metazoa; Arthropoda; Insecta; Hymenoptera; Apidae.
GAACACGACCUUGGAGCUGCACAUUCAGCUGUGUCAUCCGCGAGCCGUUAACGCUCAGGUGGUUUCUCGAGAGCCCCAGGGACGAGCAUCAAUCACUCAAUCGGUAAAGUAAAGUCUGACUGAGUGAAACGGGGAGAAAGAUGGACGAUCGAUCGCGCGUACUGGGCCAACGAGGAGGUAAAAUAAUGCGGCACGUGCGUUACUUAGAG